RNAcentral lists this ribosomal RNA (253 nucleotides) under uncultured bacterium. Its description in RNAcentral is "partial 16S ribosomal RNA". It matches the Rfam family "Bacterial small subunit ribosomal RNA", at positions 524 to 776 of the family's 1533-position model. The record is from RNAcentral.
GACGUAGGGUGCAAGCGUUGUCCGGAUUUAUUGGGCGUAAAGAGCUCGUAGGCGGUUUGUCGCGUCGACUGUGAAAACCCGAGACUUAACCUCGGGCCUGCAGUCGAUACGGGCAGACUAGAGUUCGGUAGGGGAGACUGGAAUUCCUGGUGUAGCGGUGAAAUGCGCAGAUAUCAGGAGGAACACCGGUGGCGAAGGCGGGUCUCUGGGCCGAUACUGACGCUGAGGAGCGAAAGCGUGGGGAGCGAACAGG